UCUAUCACCAAGACUCACCUUCAAAACUUAGGCUGGAGUGACGACCGUUGCAAUACUGUGGCCGCCAAAACCUUCCAAAAGGAGGCGAAUCUUUUCCUCUCAAACACCAGAUUGCUCUGCCUCCCAGGCCAUUCCCCUCGAAAUCCAUCUCUCUUCCUGCCAAUGGAGGAAUUCCGUGCAGAGAUUUGUGAAGUGGGGAAGAGAGAAGCCCCAAAAAUGGAUUCCAGUAGAUCUCGUUUGAAUCUUCCAGCCGGUAUGGAAACUUCUCUCCAUCUCGACCUGAUUCCUACCCGAUUUCCAGCAAACCCGAAGACGCCAUCACCAUCGAAGACGACAUACAGCGACCGGUUCAUACCUUGCAGAUCAUCCUCGAGGCUCCAGAACUUUGCAUUGGCCGAGAAAUCGUCGCUGGCGAAGGAAGGAGGGAACGAGGCCUAUAUAAGGUUGCUGAGGGCUGAGUUCUUCGGGCCUGAUUCGGUCCCAUCUUCGCCUGGGGGGCAGGGAUCACCAAUCAGUCCAAAUAAGAAUCUGUUCCGCUUCAAGACGGAUCACUCGGCCUCAAGUUCACCGUUCUCAGGAGUAGCCUCCGGCCAGGAUGGGGGCAUUCUAGGUGAGGUGUCGACACCCCCAAGAGUACCUAGGAAAGUACCGAAGACCCCCCACAAGGUUCUGGAUGCUCCAUCACUUCAAGAUGAUUUUUACCUGAAUCUAGUCGAUUGGUCUUCUCAAAAUGUUUUAGCCGUUGGACUGGGAACUUGUGUUUACCUAUGGUCUGCAUCCACGAGCAAGGUAACAAAACUGUGUAACUUGGGUCCUAGGGACAGUGUAUGUGCAGUUCAGUGGACUCGUGAAGGCUCCUACCUUGCAGUUGGAACAAGUCUUGGAGAUGUCCAGAUUUGGGAUGCCACAAGCUGUAAAAGGAUCCGGAACAUGGGUGGCCAUCAGACGAGAACUGGAGUCUUGGCCUGGAGUUCCUGCAUUUUAUCUUCAGGAAGUCGAGACAAAAAUAUUCUUCAACAUGAUCUUCGUGUUGCAAAUCAUUUCAUUAGCAAGCUUGCAGGCCACAGAUCUGAGGUCUGUGGCCUAAAAUGGUCCCAUGACGACCGCGAACUUGCAUCUGGUGGAAACGACAACCAGGUCUGCAAUUGUUUGUGUGGAACCAGCGAUCCCAGCAUCCAGUCUUUAAGCUUACAGAGCAUACAGCUGCAGUUAAAGCUAUUGCUUGGUCACCACAUCAGCAUGGCCUUCUUGCAUCAGGAGGCGGGACAGCUGACCAGUGCAUCCGCUUUUGGAACACUAAAAAUGGCAAUAUGCUCAAUUGUGUUGAUACAGGAAGUCAGGUCUGCAAUCUUUUAUGGUGUAAAAAUGUAAAUGAAAUAGUCAGCACUCAUGGCUAUUCUCAGAACCAAAUUAUGGUGUGGAAGUAUCCAUCUAUGGGGAAGGUAGCAACUUUAACUGGUCAUACUCUUCGAGUACUUUACCUUGCCAUUUCACCUGAUGGACAGACUAUAGUGACCGGAGCAGGAGACGAGACAUUGAGAUUUUGGAAUGUCUUUCCUUCCAUGAAAACACCAGCUCCUCUUCGUGAUGGUGUAGUUUGGUCCUCAGGACGAACUCAUAUUCGGUGACAAAGUGGCAAGAUGAUCAUCCUUCGUGCAGAAUAAACUGAUUGCUUCAAUUGUUCUGUAAAUUUUCUGGCAAGAAAUUAGAAUGUUGGGCACCUCGUAAUAAGCGUAUUCUUUUUCUUUUUACGUACAUCCUUUUCUGCAAGCCUGCACCUUGUAAUAGACACCCAAAUCCCUCUGUCAAGUUCGGUCAAGAUGGUUGCGUUGUAACACUACCGAAGUCUAUCACUAUUAUUGCUAGGAUUUCAGGUUGUUUAUCUA
Elaeis guineensis (African oil palm) is the source of this 1886-nucleotide RNA transcript. It is a transcript of the gene named protein FIZZY-RELATED 3, with no coding region annotated. Lineage: Eukaryota; Viridiplantae; Streptophyta; Magnoliopsida; Arecales; Arecaceae. The record is from RefSeq and is a predicted model, not a curated record.